GCCCUGGUGGUGCAAUGGUUGAGUGAUCAGCUGCUAACUGAAAGGUUGGUGGUUCGAACCCACCCAGUGGCU
RNAcentral lists this transfer RNA (72 nucleotides) under Loxodonta africana (African savanna elephant). It matches the Rfam family "tRNA". From Rfam's summary of the family: Transfer RNA (tRNA) molecules are approximately 80 nucleotides in length. Their secondary structure includes four short double-helical elements and three loops (D, anti-codon, and T loops). The record is from Rfam by way of RNAcentral. Lineage: Eukaryota; Metazoa; Chordata; Mammalia; Proboscidea; Elephantidae.